This 417-nucleotide ribosomal RNA is filed under the name Lactarius sp. 312-157. RNAcentral's name for it is "eukaryotic LSU rRNA". The stretch from base 1 to 105 matches the Rfam family "5.8S ribosomal RNA", at positions 50 to 154 of the family's 154-position model. The record is from RNAcentral. Lineage: Eukaryota; Fungi; Basidiomycota; Agaricomycetes; Russulales; Russulaceae.
GAAAUGCGAUACGUAAUGUGAAUUGCAGAAUUCAGUGAAUCAUCGAAUCUUUGAACGCACCUUGCGCCCCUUGGUAUUCCGAGGGGCACACCCGUUUGAGUGUCGUGAAAAUAUCAACCUUUUUGGUUUCUGCUGAACACCAAAGGAGGCUUGGACUUUGGAGGCCUUUGCUGGCACCUCUCUCUUUUGAGAGCCAGCUCCUCUUAAAUGAAUUAGUGGGGUCCUCUUUGCCAACCCUCGACAUGUGAUAAGAUGUUUCCAUGUCUUGGUUUCUGGCUCUGUUGCUUUUGGGACCUGCUUCUAACCAUCUCAACCUUGUGUCGAGACGACGUUCGAGGGCGUCUCCCUUCUCGGGAAAUGCUCUCAACCCCACGAACCCUUGACCUCAAAUCGGGUGAGACUACCCGCUGAACUUAA